UUGGAGGGCAAGUCUGGUGCCAGCAGCCGCGGUAAUUCCAGCUCCAAUAGCGUAUAUUAAAGUUGUUGCAGUUAAAAAGCUCGUAGUUGAAUUUCGAGACCGGUUUAUUGGUCGUGCUUUUGUACGUACUGGUAUUAUUGGUUUCUCCUUUCUGACGAAUCUUAAUGCCAUUAAUUUGGUGUUUUGGGGAAUCAGGACUGUUACUUUGAAAAAAUUAGAGUGUUUAAAGCAGGCUCACGCUUGAAUACAUUAGCAUGGAAUAAUGAAAUAGGACAUCGCAUUCUAUUUUGUUGGUUUCUAGGAUCGAUGUAAUGAUUAAUAGGGAUAGUUGGGGGCAUUAGUAUUCAAUUGUCAGAGGUGAAAUUCUUGGAUUUAUUGAAGACUAACUACUGCGAAAGCAUUUGCCAAGGAUGUUUUCAUUAAUCAAGAACGAAAGUUAGGGGAUCGAAGACGAUCAGAUACCGUCGUAGUCUUAACCAUAAACUAUGCCGACUAGGGAUCGGAUGAUGUUGAUUUUUUAAUGACUCAUUCGGCGCCUUACGGGAAAC
This 548-nucleotide ribosomal RNA is filed under the name uncultured Glomus. RNAcentral describes it as "SSU rRNA". It matches the Rfam family "Eukaryotic small subunit ribosomal RNA", at positions 548 to 1098 of the family's 1831-position model. The record is from RNAcentral. Lineage: Eukaryota; Fungi; Glomeromycota; Glomeromycetes; Glomerales; Glomeraceae.